GGAGAGGUGGCAGAGCGGUUGAAUGCAGCGGUCUUGAAAACCGCCGGCCCGCAAGGGCUCGUGGGUUCGAAUCCCACCCUCUCCGCCA
This 88-nucleotide transfer RNA is filed under the name Pseudomonadota bacterium. RNAcentral's name for it is "tRNA-Ser". It matches the Rfam family "tRNA". Rfam says of the family: Transfer RNA (tRNA) molecules are approximately 80 nucleotides in length. Their secondary structure includes four short double-helical elements and three loops (D, anti-codon, and T loops). RNAcentral also lists the same sequence under 1 other name. Lineage: Bacteria; Pseudomonadati; Pseudomonadota. The record is from RNAcentral.